AUAUAUAUAUAUAUAUAUAUAUAUAUAGAUAUAUAUACAUAUAUACAUAUACAUAUAUAUAUAUAUAUGUAUAAAGAAAAAAGUAAAAAAAAAUUAUAUUAAAAAUUAAAUAGAUACGUACGUAAUAAGUACAUCUUGUAUGUAUGAAACAUCUCCUGCGUAUGUUUCUUUAGAUACAUAUCGAUCGUACAUAAAUACGAAAAAUCGUUGUUAUUAACUGUUCGUACAAGAAAGAAAGAAAAAAAAAGAAGGAAUACAAAAUAAAACGAAGGUUACUUUGGAUUGUGUUUAAACCUAUGUUUAUGAUACGCAAUAAGAAUAAGAAACGUGAUAACGUUCAGUCGUAUCCGAUCUUCGGUGUGUAUUGGAUCGAUCUAGAGUAUUCGCAUAGAAAUAUCUAAGCAAAGGAUAUGUAAAGUUAAAACAGAGAGAGAGAGAGAGACAGACUAGUUCGAGAUAUGUGUCAGGAAUCAGGAUGCGUAUCCAGAGCACGCGCAGAACAUAGGAAGAACACGCCCAGCAUCUAUACUUACUCUCGUUGCUCGGUCAGUGUCAGAUACAAAUGUUUCGACAUUGUAAAAGAAUAUUUCUAGACGAACGAACGAAGGAGCGAGGGAACGAAGAAAAAACGAAGAAACGGACUAAGGGAACGAACGAUAGGGAAGAAAAAAAAAAAGAAAAGAAAAUUUCUAUUUUGAUGCUUUUACUUUUCAUUUUUCCGAGAAACGGUAAUUUAAUUUUCGACGUGGCACCGUACUUAAUUACCCCCGAAGGAUUUCGAGUAAUCGAAUAUGAGGAGGUCUUUCUAUGUGAAAUCAAUAAGGCAAUUGGGUCAAAGCGGAAGGAUUUCAAUGACCCUGACAUACUUUUUAAAAACGUAUCGAUGUAAAAAAAGGGCAAAAAAAAAGAAAGAAAGAAAGAAAAAUUAUCAUUCCUCAUAAUACAUAUAUAUUCCUCGGAUAUAAAAAGAAUGAUCAAGAGGAAUAUAUUAUAUUAUAUAUGUCAACGUUCUAA
Long non-coding RNA from Vespa crabro (European hornet), 1014 nucleotides. RefSeq lists it as uncharacterized. The transcript is spliced from 2 exons. The record is from RefSeq and is a predicted model, not a curated record. Lineage: Eukaryota; Metazoa; Arthropoda; Insecta; Hymenoptera; Vespidae.